RNAcentral lists this ribosomal RNA (1529 nucleotides) under Bacteroides fragilis. Its description in RNAcentral is "bacterial SSU rRNA". It matches the Rfam family "Bacterial small subunit ribosomal RNA". Lineage: Bacteria; Pseudomonadati; Bacteroidota; Bacteroidia; Bacteroidales; Bacteroidaceae. The record is from RNAcentral.
ACAAUGAAGAGUUUGAUCCUGGCUCAGGAUGAACGCUAGCUACAGGCUUAACACAUGCAAGUCGAGGGGCAUCAGGAAGAAAGCUUGCUUUCUUUGCCGGCGACCGGCGCACGGGUGAGUAACACGUAUCCAACCUGCCCUUUACUCGGGGAUAGCCUUUCGAAAGAAAGAUUAAUACCCGAUAGCAUAAUGAUUCCGCAUGGUUUCAUUAUUAAAGGAUUCCGGUAAAGGAUGGGGAUGCGUUCCAUUAGGUUGUUGGUGAGGUAACGGCUCACCAAGCCUUCGAUGGAUAGGGGUUCUGAGAGGAAGGUCCCCCACAUUGGAACUGAGACACGGUCCAAACUCCUACGGGAGGCAGCAGUGAGGAAUAUUGGUCAAUGGGCGGUAGCCUGAACCAGCCAAGUAGCGUGAAGGAUGAAGGCUCUAUGGGUCGUAAACUUCUUUUAUAUAAGAAUAAAGUGCAGUAUGUAUACUGUUUUGUAUGUAUUAUAUGAAUAAGGAUCGGCUAACUCCGUGCCAGCAGCCGCGGUAAUACGGAGGAUCCGAGCGUUAUCCGGAUUUAUUGGGUUUAAAGGGAGCGUAGGUGGACUGGUAAGUCAGUUGUGAAAGUUUGCGGCUCAACCGUAAAAUUGCAGUUGAUACUGUCAGUCUUGAGUACAGUAGAGGUGGGCGGAAUUCGUGGUGUAGCGGUGAAAUGCUUAGAUAUCACGAAGAACUCCGAUUGCGAAGGCAGCUCACUGGACUGCAACUGACACUGAUGCUCGAAAGUGUGGGUAUCAAACAGGAUUAGAUACCCUGGUAGUCCACACAGUAAACGAUGAAUACUCGCUGUUUGCGAUAUACAGUAAGCGGCCAAGCGAAAGCAUUAAGUAUUCCACCUGGGGAGUACGCCGGCAACGGUGAAACUCAAAGGAAUUGACGGGGGCCCGCACAAGCGGAGGAACAUGUGGUUUAAUUCGAUGAUACGCGAGGAACCUUACCCGGGCUUAAAUUGCAGUGGAAUGAUGUGGAAACAUGUCAGUGAGCAAUCACCGCUGUGAAGGUGCUGCAUGGUUGUCGUCAGCUCGUGCCGUGAGGUGUCGGCUUAAGUGCCAUAACGAGCGCAACCCUUAUCUUUAGUUACUAACAGGUCAUGCUGAGGACUCUAGAGAGACUGCCGUCGUAAGAUGUGAGGAAGGUGGGGAUGACGUCAAAUCAGCACGGCCCUUACGUCCGGGGCUACACACGUGUUACAAUGGGGGGUACAGAAGGCAGCUAGCGGGUGACCGUAUGCUAAUCCCAAAAGCCUCUCUCAGUUCGGAUCGAAGUCUGCAACCCGACUUCGUGAAGCUGGAUUCGCUAGUAAUCGCGCAUCAGCCACGGCGCGGUGAAUACGUUCCCGGGCCUUGUACACACCGCCCGUCAAGCCAUGGGAGCCGGGGGUACCUGAAGUACGUAACCGCAAGGAUCGUCCUAGGGUAAAACUGGUGACUGGGGCUAAGUCGUAACAAGGUAGCCGUACCGGAAGGUGCGGCUGGAACACCUCCUUU